UGCGUAACGUUCGCUUGCGCGUCCACCCAUCGCAGGCGGAGUGGUUAAGAGGAAGCCGGUGAACCGUGCCUCGGGCGCGGAAUUCCGGCGCUUCCCCGACAACUGUCAGCAGCGAGCUGCUUCCGGACAAUCGUCACCGGUGCAUUUGCAUCGGGAAGACGGGAGCGAGCGACGAGCUGCGAGCCGAGGAGAUCUGCCGUGAAUACCUGAACGUC
RNAcentral lists this non-coding RNA (215 nucleotides) under Bradyrhizobium sp. The record is from RNAcentral. Lineage: Bacteria; Pseudomonadati; Pseudomonadota; Alphaproteobacteria; Hyphomicrobiales; Nitrobacteraceae.